RNAcentral lists this long non-coding RNA (1211 nucleotides) under Actinia tenebrosa (Australian red waratah sea anemone). RNAcentral describes it as "uncharacterized LOC116299042, transcript variant X1". Lineage: Eukaryota; Metazoa; Cnidaria; Anthozoa; Actiniaria; Actiniidae. The record is from RNAcentral.
UAUACCUUUUCAUCAAUUCAUCAACUUUCUCUUUUGGCUUAAAUGAAUUAAGCGAUUACUCAAAAGUCUCUCUCCUGCACACAAAACACACACAAGCAAUAUUUAAACAAGAUGAAUUUCCACAAAUUGGUCUUCAUAGUGAUAGUGAUGUUGGUUCUUUGCCAUUCCACUCAUGGAGGAAAACUAUACGAAGAGGGCAGAGAGGAAAACAACAUACACAACCCUGGAGGGUGGCGUAGAAAAAGAAGUAUUAAACAAAAAGAUGACGUGGAACUCCACCACAAAGAUGCCAAAUCAUUUGCUACUCAAGAUGAAGGGAGCAAUAUUAUCUGAUUUCUCAUCAAAACGGAUCCGAAAUAUCUACUGCUAAACUUUGACGCUUACUACCGCAGUAACCGCAGCUACCCAAUUAUCUUUUGAGUAUACGUUAGCCAAUCAGAAAGCAGACCAAUCGCCCUGGUUUCGAUUGGAAGAAAACACCAACUCUCCAACGAUGUUUUCUCUGAUUGACUAAUGUGUAAACAAGUUAUCUAAUCUGGAUAACUAAAUAAUUACUGAUGUGAAACUAGAAAUAAUGAAAAUAACUAUUUAAGGGUUUAAAAGAGUUGUUGUUUUGUUUUUCUUGAGCUGUAUACGCCUAUUUCAAAAAAAAUGUCCGAAAUUUGAAAUGGGUGAUCUGAGAUUAAACAGAAUGUUUUGUAGCUUUACGUUUUCUGGUUAAAAUGUGAAAAAUUAUAUUUAUAUUUCAAACGUCAUUCCUUAUAUUCCAAUCUAAUAGGAAACUACGUUAUAUGGCUGUGAAUAUUACACAAUUUGCAGCGUGCUACUCGAUCUCAGAUUUCAGAUUUCAAAUCUCCAACCGAUAACUUGUUUUAAAUAGGUGUGAUUGAUUUAUUUGCUGACCUCGAAUAGCCCCAUUUCAAAAUUAUUUCAAAAUUGAGACGCAAAAUUUAAUUUGUAUUAUAAUAUAAAGAAAUCACACUUUUCCUGAAUCAGUUCUUUGGUAUAUUCGCAUAUAAGAUAAUUUUGUAAAAGGGCCUAAAGUCUCUAGCUUCAUUCCUCUGUUGUAAAGGGAUGGCAAUGACAAAAUAAUCUAUUCUUUUGCUAUAAUUUUACUUUGCGAGAUGGGAUUAUAUUAAGUUCAAUUAAUACAACGUGUAUCAAUAAUGAAAGCUACAUUCUUGAAGAGCAAUAAAAGCGUCAACAAAACG